GGGGGCGAAAGGUUUCGACCGGACGGUUGAGGUGUCGGUUGCGUGCCGAGGUUCCAAGGAGGCCUCGUAAAACACCUUGGGCAAACAAUAGGUGCCGAUUACGGCUACCGCAUGGCUGCCUAGUUGAGCAGCCCGCCCGCCGCCCCUUGCCCGCGAGGGACGGAUGGGCGACGAACAGCGGGCUAUGAGAUUCCCGACCGCGGUCCCCCCGCUGUCGGGCACCUCGCGGCCGCCGGGGAGUGGCCCGGUUACCCCGGCGGCGACAUCCGGCCGGGCUGGCCGGGUUGGGACCGUGUCGCUCGCGGGCCCGCCUGGCGAGAUCCAAAACAGCGACUACGCACGUAGAAGCCGGCACGGAAACGUCACGGGACGCGGGUUCGAAUCCCGCCGCCUCCAGUU
Molecule: transfer-messenger RNA, 399 nt
Filed under: Phycisphaerae
Lineage: Bacteria; Pseudomonadati; Planctomycetota
Also listed under: 1 other name
Description: MVCS01 sp002049885 Standard tmRNA
Rfam family: transfer-messenger RNA
About the family: Bacterial tmRNA, also known as 10Sa RNA or SsrA, is named for its dual tRNA and mRNA-like properties.
Source: RNAcentral